AAUGCACGCUAGCGGGAUGCUUAACACAUGCAAGUCGAACGAGUGGCGGACGGGUGAGUAAUAUAUCGGAAAGUGAACAGUAGCGGGGGAUAACUACUAGAAAGAGUGGCUAAUACAGCCAAGUAUUGGAGCGGCCGAUAUCGGAUUAGCUAGUUGGUGGGGUAAAGGCCCACCAAGGCAACGAUCCGUAGCUGGUUUGAGAGGACGAGCAGCCACACUGGGACUGAGACACGGCCCAGACGCCUACGGGAGGCAGCAGUGGGGAAUUUUGGACAAUGGGGGAAACCCUGAUCCAGCCAUCCCGCGUGUAUGAGAAGGCCUUCGGGUUGUAAUGUACUUUUGGCAGAGAAGCGGUAUCUGCAGAAUAAGCACCGGCUAACUACGUGCCAGCAGCCGCGGUAAUUC
This 405-nucleotide ribosomal RNA is filed under the name uncultured bacterium. RNAcentral describes it as "partial 16S ribosomal RNA". It matches the Rfam family "Bacterial small subunit ribosomal RNA", at positions 29 to 526 of the family's 1533-position model. The record is from RNAcentral.